Apis dorsata (giant honeybee) is the source of this 677-nucleotide long non-coding RNA. RefSeq lists it as uncharacterized. The record is from RefSeq and is a predicted model, not a curated record. The transcript has 2 exons. NCBI's taxonomy places the organism in Eukaryota, Metazoa, Arthropoda, Insecta, Hymenoptera, Apidae.
AGGGAGAAAAGAAAGGAGAAACGAUUUUGAAUUUUGAAUCGUGAUCGUGUUUACGUUGUAAAGAGCGGGCCACCUGAGCGUUUCGAGGGCAAGGACUGAGGUUCAGUGUCUCGGUGACCGUGCUUCGACUAAGUCGACGACCACGUCUCGGCCUCGCCACCGCGUCUUUCCCUUAAAACCGUCCCGUCUUUUCUAAUCUUUCUUCUCUCGUUUUCUCUUCUCCCUUCUCCCUCCUUCCUUUUCUUUUCCCCAUCUAUCUUCUGCGCCGACGCGUGUCUUCGUGUUCCGCUCGUUGCAGAUUUUUUUUUCGAGAAGCUGUUACGCGGUUCAAGUGGUCGGUAUUGGUGCGUGACACGUGUCGGAAUGACAUUUGUAUAAAAUUUUCACGUGGAAGAUGUUGAAGAAUAUUGGAAGAAAAUUGAAAGAAAUUGGAUGAUCCGGCAAAGAUUUCUUCAAGUUUCUUUUUCCAACGAGUGAAGAAGAAGAAGAAGAAGAAGGGAAGACGCGUGUCAAGGUUCGUCUCUAUGGAGGGACAUACGGGUGUAUGCGGGUUGAACCAAUUUACGCUAAUUCAUACCUCGAUUGUCCUUCGUCUCAUAUCAUUCCUUUCUCUCAAAGGAACCCGAGAAAUAUUCAAAAUGGAGGAAUAAUUUUUGAUUUCCUCCCUUCAUCCGUUC